GCUGGAGGUCUAUCGGAAACAGCCUUUCUACUUCUUUAGAGGUAGAGGUAUGGACUGCGUACAUCUUACCCUCCCCAGACCUCACUAUGUGGGAAUACACUGGGUUUGUUGUUGUUGUUGUUAUCAAUGGGAUCAUUCCUCAGUCUACACAAUUCCCAAGCAGAAUUAACAAAACUUUUCAGUGCUACUAGGCAUCCACGAAGCUUUAUCUCUACCCUCAGAAAUUUUACUGUCACCCAAAAGCUUAUGAAUAUGAUCACAAAUCUCCUCAUUGAAAUAACUAGCAAGUAAUUAAUUGAUUGAUUUCACUUUAUUAAGAUCAUGAGAAACGGGUAAGUAGUAAUGGAGAGAUCCUUUCUGUUUCCAGUUAUCAUAUCAAACAUCGGCAUAUCCUUCUUUGAUAUCCCACCAAAUUUCUUGAUCAAAGAAAUUUCUAGCCUGCAACAUAGCCUUCAAAACCUGUGAUCCUCCAUUCCAUUCAACUGUUUGAGAAAUAUGCCUCUUACAAUAUUUAUUCCACAUAAAAUUUAACCACAUAGUGUUGGUAGUUCUGAAGGUCCACCAAAGUUUGACAUAGAGAGCCUUUGAAAUAUCAAAUAAAGGCCUAAAUCCUAAACCUUCCCUCUUGUUUAGGAACACAAAUUUUGUCUCAUGCAAUCCAAUAAGUAGAUUUUCCUUCCUCUUUGAAAUUUCAUAAAAAUUUUGCAAAAAUUCUAUGAAUAUCAUAAAUUACACAUUUAGGAGGAUUAAUACCAGAUAAAAGAAAAAUGAAAAUGCUUUGUAGGACAUGAUUAACCAGGAUAGCUUUUCCUUCAAAUGACAAAAUCUUUUCUUUCCAGAGUUGCAACUUAUUUUGAUUUUUUUAAUCAACUUUGAGAAGUGAACUUUCUUCUACUUAACAUGGCCAAUAGGACAACCCAUGUAUUUCAAAGGAAAUUUUCCUUUUGAAAAACAUGGAACAUCCUCAACUAAUUGAACAGAAUUAUGAACAACUUUGUUAAACAUAUCAAAGGAACUCUUAUCUUUAUUAAUAAGCUGAUCUGAUUGUUGUUCAUACAUGCUCAGAGUCCUCAUAAUCAACUGUAAGGAUGUUCUGUUAGCUGUAGCAAAAAUGAUAGUGGCUAAAUGAUUCAGAUUAUCACUCCAUUUAGGCAACUCAUAACUCUUAAAUUCUUGAUUUCUAAAAAUACUAUUCAGUGCUAGAAAUAGCACUUCAGCAACCAAAAUAAACAAAAAAGGAGACAGAGGAACCUCUUGUUUCACCCCUCUAGAAGAAUGAAAAAAAUCAUGUGCCUGACCAUUUAUCAAUACAGAUUACCAAUUAUUAGCAAUAAGCCUCCAUAUCAUAUCAGUCAUCUUAGAGUCAACAUUCAUUUUUUUCAAUACUUUAAUCAAAUAGUGUCAGUCACUCUAUCAUAAGCUUUAGCCAUAUCCAGCUUAAUAAUAACAUUAUUAGGUUUGUGCCUCAACCUUAUGUCAGUGAUUAUUUCUUGAGCCAACAGAACAUUCUCAGUGAUAAUUCUAUACUUCACAAAUCCUGGUUGAUUUUGAGAAAUCAGUCUUGGAAGAAGACCUUCCAGCCUAUCAUGAAUAAGCAUAGAAAUAACUUUAUUGAGAAAGUUAUUCAAACUAAUUGGUCUACGAUAUGAAAAGGAUUAAAUCACAUCCCUUUUAGGUAUUAGGUUAGUAUGAGUAAUAGAUUUUGAUAGUGUAGACCCAUGAAAUAAAGCAUGUACUACUUUAAUGAUGUACUGAGCAACAAUAUUCUAGCAAGUCUGAUAAAAAAUUCAGAGAAACCAUCAAGUCCACAAGAACUUUCAGCACUAAGUUCAAAAUUCACACUGUUUAUUUUUGUCUCAUCAGGAAUUGCAUUUAGUAAAGCAUUGUCUUCGGCAGAGCUACCUGUAAAUUAUUUUUGAAAAAAACAGACUCCUUCAGCAAUAAUUUCUUUCAGUGAUUCUUUCCAGGAUUCAUCUUUCUUCUAAAUUCUACUAAAAGAAAGCUUCUUUCGUCUAACCUUAACCAGACAGUGAAGAGAUUGAGUGUUUCUAUCCCCUUCUUCAAACCAUUGAACACUAGCUUUUUGCCUUCAGAAUUCCUCCUCAUAAUGAAAAUACAGUUUUAAUUCAGCCUGAGUUUUCUGUAAAAUAGAUCUAUUAAGAGGAGAAGGGUCUCCUUGAAAUAAUUCCUCUUUAAUUUUAACAAUUUCUUCUCUAAUGACCAAUUGCUUAAAAAUAUCACCAAAUUUAUCUUUACUCCAUUUGGAAAUAGCCAUUUUUGUCUUCUUCAGCCUCUAUUUUAACUUAAUAAAAACAUCAUCAUUAUUAUCUGCAACCCAACUCUGUAGAACAACAUUCAAAAAAUCUUCUUUCUCUGUCCAGAAUUUUAAAAACUUGAAAGGUUUAGAAAUAACAAUAUCACUAACACCACAAGGAAGUAAAAGGAGGGAAUGGUCUCAUUCAGUCCUGACCAAAUGUUGCACAUUCACAUUUCCAAAGAUAUCCAUUAGACUCUAAUUAACAAAAAUUCUGUCUAAUCUUUUAAAAAUGCAAUUCUUUCGACUCUCCCAUUCCAUCAGGAAAAUGAAUAGCCUAAAAAAUUAAUAUCAUACAGCUCACAAUAAUUAAUUUAGAGAGCAAAAUCUUCAUUCUCUUGGGAGUAUACAGGUAGACCACCAAUCUUUUCCUCACCCCCUAAAAUUACAUUGAGAUCCCCUCCAACCAGUCAAGGCAAAGAAAAAUUAUGAUUUAGGUAAUAAAGAUCAUCCCACAAACUUAAUCUUUCAAUUGUUGAACAUUUACCCUAAAACAAUGGUAGCUAGCAGAUUAAUUGCAGUGUCCAGUGUAAGAUGCAAAUACAGUUGCUGUCCAGAAACAGAAACAUUCUCCACUUGAAUGUCAUGAUUAACAAAGAACCAGAUUUGUCAAUUUCAUUUUGAAAAAUAUAUUGCAUGUCUAACCUUCUUCUGUAUUUUUGAAUAUUUCUAGUAUCUGGAAAAGGUUCAAUCAAGGAAAUCAUUGAAAAUUUAUGAUGUUUGUGCAACAUUUGAACUCUAUGAAAGGCCUUUUGAGUGUUAACGGACCGUGUAUUUCAAAACAAAGCUUUACAAUUCAUUUAUGAUUGGAUUUGACUAUCCUUUUAGCCUGAGUUCUUGUGGUCAGUGUACUACCACCCUCUCCUUUCAUCUUAGAUUUUUUGCCUUUAUUACUCAGUUUUGGAGAUAAAUCUGCUUCAAUAACAGUCUUUUGUAUUUAGAUUAGAUUUUCUCCUUCAUCUUUUUCUUUAAUUUCUAUUGUGUCUUUAUGUACCUGUUCCUAAAUAGCUAUCUCUGUUCCUCCAGGGUCUUUUUGAAAGUCUUAAUGUGAUACCAAAGCAUGCAAAAUCUCCAUAAGAACUGAUUUAUCAGCCAUCUCGGGUACUUCCAUGUCAUUCGCAGCUUCGUUGACCUCCUCGCUCUUGUCACGAGAAUGAUGCACAUUCACAAUUUUGCCUCCAAUCAAUUCCUCUAAGAUAGUAACCUCAUGUUUGUAUUCAUGUUCCUCAUUUGUUUUCUGUAUAAACACGUGUGACCCAGUCUUUAGUAUACAUCUUCUUCUGUGAAUUAUCAUCUGUUUGGCAUGUUUUAAUUUUGUUUGACAGAUGUCCAUUAAGUACCACAACCAUUAUUAUUGCGUCUGUAUUUUUGGGCAUGCUUGUGCUAAGCUCAGAAUUUAUGUGAUCCUCCUCAUCAAUUUUCUUC
Long non-coding RNA from Capsicum annuum, 3739 nucleotides. RefSeq lists it as uncharacterized. The transcript has 2 exons. The record is from RefSeq and is a predicted model, not a curated record. NCBI's taxonomy places the organism in Eukaryota, Viridiplantae, Streptophyta, Magnoliopsida, Solanales, Solanaceae.